This 459-nucleotide ribosomal RNA is filed under the name uncultured bacterium. RNAcentral's name for it is "bacterial SSU rRNA". It matches the Rfam family "Bacterial small subunit ribosomal RNA", at positions 917 to 1382 of the family's 1533-position model. The record is from RNAcentral.
GGGCCCGCACAAGCAGUGGAGUAUGUGGUUUAAUUCGAAGCAACGCGAAGAACCUUACCAGGGCUUGACAUGGAGACGAUCGCGCUAGAGAUAGCGUUUCCCUUCGGGGCGUCUCACACAGGUGGUGCAUGGUUGUCGUCAGCUCGUGUCGUGAGAUGUUGGGUUAAGUCCCGCAACGAGCGCAACCCUUACGUUUAGUUGCUACGCAAGAGCACUCUAGACGGACUGCCGUUGACAAAACGGAGGAAGGUGGGGACGACGUCAAAUCAUCAUGCCCCUUAUGUCCUGGGCUACACACGUACUACAAUGGCGGCUAACAGAGGGCAGCUAAGGCGCGAGCCGGAGCAAAUCCCCAAAAGCCGUCCCAGUUCGGAUUGCAGGCUGAAACUCGCCUGUAUGAAGUCGGAAUUGCUAGUAAUCGCGGAUCAGCAUGCCGCGGUGAAUACGUUCCCGGGCCUU